Molecule: long non-coding RNA, 635 nt
Organism: Poeciliopsis prolifica (blackstripe livebearer)
Lineage: Eukaryota; Metazoa; Chordata; Actinopteri; Cyprinodontiformes; Poeciliidae
Exons: 3
Source: RefSeq, a predicted model, not a curated record
CUGUAAUCCACCUGCGAAGACACUGCUUAGGUCAGACGAGAGUGCAUCCUCAAAGGUCUGUGUGUGUACCUAAAUGAAGAUCCAGAGAAGCUGGUGAGGGAGUACAUGGACGUUGAUGAAUGCGCAGAAAUGGCCAAAGCCGAGACUGUCCUCGGAAUCGUCAUUUGAGCAGAGGGUGCAGAGGCUGCCGAUGCACAUCUGGAUGUUGGGAUUGUCCUGGAGGAGGUGGAAGUUAUGAACAGCUUGGGCAGUGUAUCUUCUGCAAUAGUGAUGCUGCUGGGACUAAUCUAUGCACUAAACUUGAGCUACCCUCAAGUUUAGUGCGUUCAGCACUCAACUUGCUCAGUAACUCAAGCAUACCUUUGAAGUAAUACAGAAAAUAAUAAUGAAAUUGGAUGGAAAGAACUUAUCAAAGAAAGCACAAGUUCUCAAUAUGAAACUCGCUGCUAAGUUGAGCAAAGUUUCAUAUGGAAAAUGAGUGUUUAAAGUCUGCAGUAGAAAAGAUUUAUAUUGUUACAGUUCUCUAAGUUGAGCAACUAUACUGGCAUGUUUUAUGUUGUAAAGAAUUGGCUGGGAAAUGAAACUGUAACCUUUUUGUAGUUGUUUUUUUAUUUCAAUGUCCAACUCAGCUGUGU